This 632-nucleotide ribosomal RNA is filed under the name Nebria snowi. RNAcentral describes it as "partial large subunit ribosomal RNA". The stretch from base 389 to 548 matches the Rfam family "Bacterial large subunit ribosomal RNA", at positions 2473 to 2632 of the family's 2925-position model. Lineage: Eukaryota; Metazoa; Arthropoda; Insecta; Coleoptera; Carabidae. The record is from RNAcentral.
GUCCUUUAGAUAUUAAUUUAAGGUCUAACCUGCCCACUGAAUUAUUUUAAAUGGCCGCAGUAAUUUGACUGUGCAAAGGUAGCAUAAUCAUUAGUUUUUUAAUUAAAAGCUUGUAUGAAAGGUUGGACGAAGUAAAAUCUGUCUCUAAUUAAAUUAAUUUAGAAUUUAACUUUUAAGUUAAAAGGCUUAAAUUUAACUAAAAGACGAGAAGACCCUAUAGAUCUUUAUAUUUUAAUUAUUAAAUUUAAUUAAGAAUUUUUAAAAUUUUAUUAAUUUAGAUAUUUUAUUGGGGUAAUAUAAAGAUUAAAAUAAUUCUUUUUUUUUAUUAACAUUAAUUUAUGAUUUUUAUGAUCCAAUUAUAUUGAUUUUAAGAUUAAGUUACCUUAGGGAUAACAGCGUAAUUUUUUUAGAGAGUUCUUAUCGAUAAAAAAGUUUGCGACCUCGAUGUUGGAUUAAAGAUUAUUUUAGGUGCAGAAGUUUAAAAAUUUUGGUCUGUUCGACCAUUAAAUCUUUACAUGAUCUGAGUUCAGACCGGUGUAAGCCAGGUCGGUUUCUAUCUUUAGUAAAUUAAAAUAUUUUAGUACGAAAGGACCAAUUAUUUAAUAUAAUAUUUAAAUUUUGAUUAUUAUUAA